UUGGGUAGGGGAGCGUUCUGUAAGCGGAUGAAGGUGAAUCGAGAGGUUUGCUGGACGUAUCAGAAGUGCGAAUGCUGACAUAAGUAACGAUAAAACGAGUGAAAAACUCGUUCGCCGGAAGAUCAAGGUUUCCUGUCCAACGUUAAUCGGGGCAGGGUGAGUCGACCCCUAAGGCAAGGCUGAAAAGCGUAGUCGAUGGGAAACGGGUUAAUAUUCCCGUACUUGUAAUAACUGCGAUGUGGGGACGGAGAAGGUUAGGUUAUCAGGGUAUUGGAUAUCCCUGUUUAAGCCGGUAGGUGGGAAUUCUAGGCAAAUCCGGAAUUCUGAAUAACACCGAGAAGUGAUGACGAGGCUCUAAGGAGCUGAAGUAACUGAUACCACGCUUCCAGGAAAAGCCACUAAGCAUAGGUUAUUAUAAAUCGUACUGUAAACCGACACAGGUGAUCAGGUAGAGAAUACUCAGGCGCUUGAGAGAACUCGGGUGAAGGAACUAGGCAAAAUAGCACCGUAACUUCGGGAGAAGGUGCGCCGGCGUAGAUUGUAGCCCUUUACGGGUGAAGGUUGAACCGGUCGAAGAUACCAGCUGGCUGCAACUGUUUAUUAAAAACACAGCACUCUGCAAACACGAAAGUGGACGUAUAGGGUGUGAUGCCUGCCCGGUGCUGGAAGGUUAAUUGAUGAUGUAAUCGAAAGAGAAGCUUCUGAUAGAAGCCCCAGUAAACGGCGGCCGUAACUAUAACGGUCCUAAGGUAGCGAAAUUCCUUGUCGGGUAAGUUCCGACCUGCACGAAUGGCAUAAUGAUGGCCAGGCUGUCUCCACCCGAGACUCAGUGAAAUUGAAAUCGCCGUGAAGAUGCGGUGUACCCGCGGCUAGACGGAAAGACCCCGUGAACCUUUACUAUAGCUUGACACUGAACCUUGAAUUUUAAUGUGUAGGAUAGGUGGGAGACUUAGAAGCAGUAACGCCAGUUAUUGUGGAGUCAACCUUGAAAUACCACCCUUUAACGUUUGAUGUUCUAACGAAGCGCCCGAAACGGGUGUUCGGACAGUGUCUGGUGGGUAGUUUGACUGGGGCGGUCUCCUCCCAAAGAGUAACGGAGGAGUACGAAGGUUUGCUAAUCACGGUCGGACAUCGUGAGGUUAGUACAAUGGUA
RNAcentral lists this ribosomal RNA (1153 nucleotides) under Pasteurella atlantica. RNAcentral's name for it is "partial 23S ribosomal RNA". It matches the Rfam family "Bacterial large subunit ribosomal RNA", at positions 1224 to 2359 of the family's 2925-position model. RNAcentral also lists the same sequence under 1 other name. The record is from RNAcentral. Lineage: Bacteria; Pseudomonadati; Pseudomonadota; Gammaproteobacteria; Pasteurellales; Pasteurellaceae.